AGUGAACGCUGGCGGUAGGCCUAACACAUGCAAGUCGAACGGCAGCACAGUAAGAGCUUGCUCUUACGGGUGGCGAGUGGCGGACGGGUGAGGAAUACAUCGGAAUCUACUUUUUCGUGGGGGAUAACGUAGGGAAACUUACGCUAAUACCGCAUACGACCUACGGGUGAAAGCAGGGGAUCUUCGGACCUUGCGCGAUUGAAUGAGCCGAUGUCGGAUUAGCUAGUUGGCGGGGUAAAGGCCCACCAAGGCGACGAUCCGUAGCUGGUCUGAGAGGAUGAUCAGCCACACUGGAACUGAGACACGGUCCAGACUCCUACGGGAGGCAGCAGUGGGGAAUAUUGGACAAUGGGCGCAAGCCUGAUCCAGCCAUACUGCGUGGGUGAAGAAGGCCUUCGGGUUGUAAAGCCCUUUUGUUGAGAAAGAAAAGCAGCAGGUUAAUACCCCGCUGUUCUGACGGUACCCAAAGAAUAAGCACCGGCUAACUUCGUG
This 492-nucleotide ribosomal RNA is filed under the name uncultured bacterium. RNAcentral's name for it is "partial 16S ribosomal RNA". It matches the Rfam family "Bacterial small subunit ribosomal RNA", at positions 29 to 507 of the family's 1533-position model. The record is from RNAcentral.